CGGUUACUUGUUCCCAGGAUCACACUCUGACCCCAACAUCCUAGAAGCACAAUUAGCAGUAGACCCACUCCGCAAUCUCAGAUACAUAAAGGAACACAUAAGACAAAGAUUAGGUUCGGGAGAAUCCACAGGAACCAGUAAGACUUUUCCUCCAGUAUCUUAUUCUCCUCAAUCCCCUAAAUCCUACAGACUAAGACCCUUGCCAAAAUCCAG
Long non-coding RNA from Nanorana parkeri, 213 nucleotides. RefSeq lists it as uncharacterized. The record is from RefSeq and is a predicted model, not a curated record. Lineage: Eukaryota; Metazoa; Chordata; Amphibia; Anura; Dicroglossidae. The transcript is spliced from 3 exons.